RNAcentral lists this ribosomal RNA (494 nucleotides) under uncultured bacterium. Its description in RNAcentral is "partial 16S ribosomal RNA". It matches the Rfam family "Bacterial small subunit ribosomal RNA", at positions 28 to 507 of the family's 1533-position model. The record is from RNAcentral.
GACGAACGCUGGCGGCGUGCUUAAUACAUGCAAGUCGAACGGAGAGGCGCCUUCCUUUUUGGUGGGUGUGGAUGAGUGGCGAGCGGGUGAGCAACACGUUAGUAACCUGCUCCCUCCUUCAGGAUAACGGCAUGAAAGUGUUGCUACUACGGGAUAUAUUGGGUCUCUCGCUUGAAUGGUCUGGGACGGUUUUUGUGUCGGUGGGAGAUGGGCUCGCGCCUUAUCAGCUUGUUGGUGGGGUGAUGGCUUACCAAGGCGAUGACGAGUAGCCGGCCUGAGAGGGUCGGCGGUCACAGUGGGAAUGAGAGACCGAGCCGACUCCGACAGGCAGCAGCAGGGAGUAAUAUUGCACGGUGGGAGGAAGCCUGAAGCAGCGACGCCGCGUGGGUGAUGGAGGCCUUCGGGUUGUGAUCCGCUUUCGCCAGUGAACCAGUCCUGCCGCGUUUGUGCGUGGGUUGACGGUAGCUGAUCAAAAAGCGACGGCUAACUACGUG